Long non-coding RNA from Leopardus geoffroyi (Geoffroy's cat), 780 nucleotides. RefSeq lists it as uncharacterized. NCBI's taxonomy places the organism in Eukaryota, Metazoa, Chordata, Mammalia, Carnivora, Felidae. The transcript is spliced from 3 exons. The record is from RefSeq and is a predicted model, not a curated record.
CCUCCCCUAUUUUUAGUUGACUUUUUGCAAUUCCUCCUCCAUCUAAACCUUGAAAAACUGCAGGAAGUGCAGAAGCAUCUUUUGAAAGUACCAUUCUGCCCGUUGCCACGAAGGAAUGGAACCAAUGAUCCCAGCAAGAGGCAUGAAAAUCAGAAUAAUCCCCAUUCUUUUCCAUUGAAGUUUUUGUAGCAGAUGAAGAGAAGACGAAGAAAACUUCAAGCACCCAUGUACAGAGGGACCCAUGGUCCAGCGUGCAGCGGCGGAGACGAGGGGAUGGGAAGACACCCACAAGAGGGGCAGCACGUGUGCGGCAUCCGAGCACAGGGGCAGAGGGGGCAUCCGUGUAGGACCCAGAGUUCGCGACCUCAUCUGUGAUCGAGAAAUCCCGGAAGCUGCGAAGACCCUGUCUUCACUGAACAUCAUUUGAAACAAAUUGAUAUUUUUGAAUCUUGGCAAUACUCCGGGGACAACAUUACCAGCAAUGAAAUUUCUUCCAAAAAUCCAGAGAAUGCAGUGAGAGACUAAUCUGGGCUCAGUUAAUUAUAUGUUUGUAAAGCACUCUGCGGGGUGUUUUUUUCCCUCACAUAUUUAUUUUUAACACAAACAUAUACACUCCGCUGACGGCAGUGCAACCAUGGUCAUAGCCUCUAAACUCCAUGAGAGUUUAUCACCUGCAUUUAUUUAUUGAGCAUUCAACAAGUAUUUACUGAGCGCCAGCCUGAGACACGCUUGACUCCUACCUUCAUGGAGCUUAAGUUCUAAUAAACGGCGUUCACUGAA